This 253-nucleotide ribosomal RNA is filed under the name uncultured bacterium. Its description in RNAcentral is "partial 16S ribosomal RNA". It matches the Rfam family "Bacterial small subunit ribosomal RNA", at positions 524 to 776 of the family's 1533-position model. The record is from RNAcentral.
UACGUAGGGUGCGAGCGUUAAUCGGAAUUACUGGGCGUAAAGCGUGCGCAGGCGGUUUUGUAAGCCAGGUGUGAAAGCCCCGGGCUCAACCUGGGAACUGCAUUUGAAACUGGCGGGCUUGAGUGUGGCAGAGGGGGGUGGAAUUCCGCGUGUAGCAGUGAAAUGCGUAGAGAUGCGGAGGAACACCGAUGGCGAAGGCAGCCCCCUGGGCCAACACUGACGCUCAGGCACGAAAGCGUGGGGAGCAAACAGG